Molecule: non-coding RNA, 145 nt
Organism: Hyaloscypha sp. PMI_1271
Lineage: Eukaryota; Fungi; Ascomycota; Leotiomycetes; Helotiales; Hyaloscyphaceae
Source: the annotation of a GenBank genome assembly
GGGUUCGUAGCUUAAGGGUAAAGCGCACAAGACAAACGCAGGAAAAAGGUUGUUAUGCCUAGCAUUUAACGGCCUCAGGCGUUGUGAAAAAUACAAUGUCACUGUAGAAAAUUGUGAGAUGUUGGUUCGAAUCCAACUGAAUCCA